RNAcentral lists this ribosomal RNA (452 nucleotides) under uncultured delta proteobacterium. RNAcentral's name for it is "bacterial SSU rRNA". It matches the Rfam family "Bacterial small subunit ribosomal RNA", at positions 9 to 448 of the family's 1533-position model. Lineage: Bacteria; Deltaproteobacteria. The record is from RNAcentral.
GAGUUUGAUCGUGGCUCAGAAUGAACGUUGGCGGCGCGCCUAACACAUGCAAGUCGCGCGAGAAAGGGCUUCGGCCCCAGUAAAGACGGCGCACGGGUGAGUAACACGUAGGUCAUCUCCCCUCGAAUGGUGGAUAACUCUCCGAAAGGAAAGCUAAUACAGCAUAAGACCACGACCUCGCUGAGGUUGCGGCCAAAGACAGACCUCUUCAUGAAAGUUUGCGUUUAGGGAUGAGCCUGCGGCCCAUCAGCUAGUUGGUAGGGUAACGGCCUACCAAGGCGAAGACGGGUAGCUGGUCUGAGAGGAUGAACAGCCACACUGGAACUGAGACACGGUCCAGACUCCUACGGGAGGCAGCAGUGGGGAAUCUUGCGCAAUGGGCGAAAGCCUGACGCAGCGACGCCGCGUGAGCGAUGAAGGCCUUCGGUUGUAAGCUCUGUGGGGAGGGAAGG